Molecule: long non-coding RNA, 4341 nt
Organism: Taeniopygia guttata (zebra finch)
Lineage: Eukaryota; Metazoa; Chordata; Aves; Passeriformes; Estrildidae
Source: Ensembl
GGGGGCGGGGCCAGAGCGGUGUGAGGGCUCCGCGCCGCGGGUCCCGUCCCGCUCGUCUUUAAACGAAACUUCCCCGCCGCCGGGGCAGGACACACUGGGAACCCUCUAGAGAAGCCUGAGCGUGGUUGUGGAGUAUUGACAGCAGCGUUACGGUGCAUGGACACGGUGGUCACGGCGAGAGAAUCACAGAAUGUGUCAGGCCGGAGCGCAGUCGGGCCUCUGGGCUCCUGCAGGCCCAUCGCAGAGCGCACGGCGCGGGGCCGGGUUGUCUCCUGUGAGGGCGGCUCCCUGCUCGCUCUGGACGAGCCACAGAAAAACCAUUGCACUGAUACCAAUGAGAGCAGAUGCAGAGCUCUGUAACCACCUGUCUCUCUCUGGUAGAGAAUUGGAAGAGCAGGGGGACGUGUGUCUUGUAUUGCCAUUACUGACUCUCCACAUCAUCUUCCGUGUGCAGAGGCCUGGGCUCCUGUUUCAGCGGUUGUGUGAAGUUAAUUAAGGAAUUCCUGUGUUCUAAUCUCCACAUCGGAAACACGCCAAGCCUGACUAACUUUUCUGGAGAAGCAAGAUGCAAAACUGGAAGUAAACAGGAUCUCGGUGCAACAAUACCUUUAUCUAAAUGAGUUUGAUUCUUGUUCUCUGAUUGGAACUAUUGUCAAGAUGUUGAAGUGCAUCAGCAAAAAUCCAUAAUUUUCCAAAUAUAAGUGUGUGCUGUUAAGGCAAAUGAGCAGCUCCCAUUGCUAUAUGUAGUCUCACCUAAAAUGUAAGAAACAUCCCUUGGUACAGCUGUUGAUGUUGUGCAUAUGACAGUCUCUGUGCCCUGGCUUACAUGAGCUGGCUCUGGCUGCUUCAGCAUUUUUUGAGUUUUCCAGCUACUGUCUUAAUUCAUCCUGUCAUUGCUGGUUGCAGAUUUUUGAAGUCGACACCUGAGUCACUUGGUCACUGCCCCUUUAUAAAGUCCUUGUGCUACAGCUCCAGUGAGUCCUGGUGAACCACUGCAGCUUCAUACAAGUGGGCUCCAUGGCACCUUUUCACUUCAGAAGCAACCAGUGCUUUGUUUUUGUUUGGAAAUGAUGCUUUUCCUCUGCAACUCUCUGCAAUGGACUAACAGAGGACUCCAGAAAUUGCCUGACUUUUAUCCCGCUUUCAAAGCAGGAGCUUUCCAACAGAAAUUGCAGACAGUCCGAAUUUUUCAUCUACCCUUAGCUAGUUGUAGGCUUGAGAGCAGGAUUGUGCGACUGGGAAAUUAAUCGGUCUUGAAACUUCACAAUUAAUCAUAGCACAGCCAGGGCUGUGCUCGAGAAUUUAAGGAAAAAAUCCUUAUGGGUAUUAGGUGCUUGAUCACCCCAGAAAUCAAAGAUUGUGUAUGUUCUAACUUUGCUGAACACAUCUCUGAAAGCAGUUAAUUUUAUUGCUGAUCCAGCUUUUCUUUCUCUUAGCCAUAUGACAACUACAAAAAUUGAUUAUACGGAAAAGUAAUGUUAGGAAAGCGCUUAAUGCAUUUUUAGCUGCUUCUAAUGGGAUUUAGCAGCUGGAAACAAGGAGAGCUGGCACUGAGUAAUCAGGGCUGUUCUUAGACAGCUGUGUGGGAACCAGAGUAUCAGGACUCAGAAAUAAAUCACCAUUUUUUUUCCUGUAUUUUAAAAAACGCAGUAUAUGCAAUGAAGAAUUUGAAAGGUAGCCCUCAAUACUUGCAGCUCAGACAGUUAACUUGAAGUCAAAUGGAAUUCAUUGUUAAAUCCAGUUCUGUAAUAACUUCUAGAUGAAAAUGCCCCUGGGUUCUAUGUGAUUUUUUUUUUUUUAUUUAAUGCUUAUGGCGGUUACUGCUGCCCAUCUUUGAAAGGCCUCAGGUUUAGAUUUAAAAUCCAUGCUACAUUAAUUUUUAAGCAGAACAAAAAUGUAGUUAUUUCUGCUCCCCUUUUCUCUUUAUGAGCAACAAUCCAAGAGACCCAUUUUCCUAUUUUGGAAGAAAGCAAUUUUAUGCAUGUUUGUGCCUAGGACUUGCAGUCAGAAAAAUGUCUUGGUAAAAUGGCCCUUCCAUAGGUUUUCAGUCUGAAUAGUUCCUAUACUCAGUUCCAUUUACAAAUCAAAAGCAUGAUUUUCAACUUAAGCAAUGUAAACUGAGUCUUGAAGCCCCCUGUUACACCAUGGUCGGUGUUUUGCCACUGAAAUGCACCAAAAAAGUUUUUUUGGUGAUGCCUAAAGGGGAAUACAGUUCCACUGUGUGGGAAUGGAGUGCAUCCAUUUGUCAGAGUUUUAGUCAAAAAAAACAGUUAUAUUUUUUGGUCCUCCUAAAGUGCUUUAAGUAUUUAACACUGUCAUGAAAAAAAACCAAAACAAAACAAAAAAACAACAAAACCAAAACAGGAUUGUGUGCCUAGAGUAAGAAGGUACCUUUUUUCUCAUACUAUUUUCCUUAUGGAAGGAAAUUACUUUGGGAUAAAAUCUAAGCAGUCAUAUCUAGGUCUGUGGUAGUACUUCGUGUUAGUGUCAGGUCCUGCUGACCCCUGUAGCAGUUUAUAUUAAUGAAAUUGCAAAAUUCAGGGUCUAAGCAGGAUUAUUUAGGUGGAAACCUAUGGAACUGGAGCUCACAGUCAAGGAUAUCCUGUCUGUGAUAAUUUUAAUUCUGCCUGCAUAUUCUUUAACAAGUCCUGUGCCAUUGGUUUGCAAGUCUGCCUCACUUCUCUGUGUUUCAUUACAUUUAAAGAGUGUAUCCUUGGCCUUUCCUCACCUUAAGGUGAAUUCUAUGCCCUAAAAACAAUUUCUAGAGCACAAUUCAUCUACUAGAUUCCAAAUUUAAUCAAAACUUUUUGGAAUUACACAUAAUCCUUUGUACUUUUCCUUCUGCUAAAGCUGUUUGCGAUGCUGUUGUAAAGCUGUUUUGACUCUACUAGAUACCCUGGUUAUUUUUUCAUUUCAAAUUGGUGUCAGCCAUGUCACUGAAGUGGCAGUAGAAAAUGUUCGUUUUAACAGGGUUCAUGGAUCAAAAAGUUGAGCUCAAAGAAGAUAUCUUGUAACUUACUAGUAAACACUGCAAUAGUGAAACUGAGAAGUCGAAAUAGACCUCUGAGAAAAUGGAAAAUAUUCCCAAGAGCAGUCUAAAAUGUCAUUGCUUUAUCUUAAAAUAGAAUGUUUUGCUGCCUUAUGAAGUGCAGAUCCAAAUAACUGCAAAUUGUUAGACCCUCAGAAGGAUCCCCUGGCACAGUUUGGGGGACCUGUUGGUGUAUGUUUAAGUGUGCAUGUGUGUCCAGGAAAAGAUAAGGCAUUACCCCCCUACUAUUCCUUUUUCACUUUUCCCCUUAUUCUCCACUUCAGACAUAAAACACUGUGGUCACAUCUCUUUUUGUACCAGAACAUUUUCAGGGUAUGCCUUUUUACUGUGAAGUUCUGUGAGUGCCUCCAGCAGGCAGGAACAGAGCUCUGCUGCUCUUUGGGAAUGGUCUCCUGACCUGGAGAACAAGGCAGACACUGGGAAGAGCCCUAGAGCUGCUCCCCCAGGGUGCCAACCCCCACCUCUUCGUUGGCUUGCAGUCAUCACUUUUAUUUUGCAAUUUCCAUAAUUAAGUUUGAGGCUUUACAGAUUAGUCUGUGAUGUGGAAGAACUAGACUUUUUGAAGAACAGAUGCUUCAAAAGCAUGCUUAAAACUUAAGAAAAUUUCAAGUGUUCCUGUGCUGAAUCUCCUUAACAACUGCAGUCCUGGCAUAGUUGUUGUCACCUAGAGCUGAUGAAUUAAAAAAAGAUGAAUUAAAAAAAGACUGAUGAAUUAAAUCAGUCAUAUAAGGGAUUGGGGCAUAAGUGUUUUCUCAGUGUUUGAAUAGGAUAUGUAGUGUGAGAAAAGUAAGAAGACAUCCUUGUAUGUAUUGUGUAUGCCUGUUAUGAGCAUGCAUUUUUGUUGUUAGGGUUCAAAGGCUUUAGUAAUAAUUCAAAUGGUAUUUGUGAUUUUUUUUUCCUGAAGUGAAAUGAAGACUGUGUUUCUCUUUUGGAUUAUAUAUAUAAAUAUGAUUGAUUCCCUUGGGGGUGUUUUUCAUCGCUGUUAAUUUUGGUGCUCUGGUCAGAUGUAGUUUCUGAAUACCUAGAGUUCCCCGGUGGUAGCAGAAAUUUAAAUGAAUGACAUAAUUUUCUCCUCCUGUGCCAGUGCUAUUGUGUGGGAAUGCUGUAUUCUACAAAAUGAGCUUCCGUUUUUAUCUUAGGCGUGGCUGUCCUUCCGCAGUGCACACAAUGCCCUGGUUUGAGUCCAUUGUGCCAUUUAUGUCUUACAUAGAUGCACCUAGACUGGGGAGUCUGAUUUGUAAAAUUGCUUUUAAGGGCUUUUAAAUUCUUGAUAAUAAAAGAAACACAUUUGC